UUUUAUCCUGGCUCAGGAUGAACGCUGGCGGCGUGCCUAAUACAUCCAAGUCGAGCGAACAGAUAAGGAGCUUGCUCCUUUGACGUUAGCGGCGGACGGGUGAGUAACACGUGGGUAACCUACCUAUAAGACUGGGAUAACUUCGGGAAACCGGAGCUAAUACCGGAUAACAUUUGGAACCGCAUGGUUCUAAAGUGAAAGAUGGUUUUGCUAUCACUUAUAGAUGGACCCGCGCCGUAUUAGCUAGUUGGUAAGGUAACGGCUUACCAAGGCAACGAUACGUAGCCGACCUGAGAGGGUGAUCGGCCACACUGGAACUGAGACACGGUCCAGACUCCUACGGGAGGCAGCAGUAGGGAAUCUUCCGCAAUGGGCGAAAGCCUGACGGAGCAACGCCGCGUGAGUGAUGAAGGGUUUCGGCUCGUAAAACUCUGUUAUUAGGGAAGAACAAAU
This 453-nucleotide ribosomal RNA is filed under the name Staphylococcus xylosus. Its description in RNAcentral is "bacterial SSU rRNA". It matches the Rfam family "Bacterial small subunit ribosomal RNA", at positions 12 to 454 of the family's 1533-position model. Lineage: Bacteria; Bacillati; Bacillota; Bacilli; Caryophanales; Staphylococcaceae. The record is from RNAcentral.